GCGCAGCGAGAGGUGCUUGCACCUUUCAAGCGAGUGGCGAACGGGUGAGUAACACGUGGAUAACCUGCCUCAAGGCUGGGGAUAACAUUUGGAAACAGAUGCUAAUACCGAAUAAAACUUAGUAUCGCAUGAUAUCAAGUUAAAAGGCGCUACGGCGUCACCUAGAGAUGGAUCCGCGGUGCAUUAGUUAGUUGGUGGGGUAAAGGCUUACCAAGACGAUGAUGCAUAGCCGAGUUGAGAGACUGAUCGGCCACAUUGGGACUGAGACACGGCCCAAACUCCUACGGGAGGCUGCAGUAGGGAAUCUUCCACAAUGGGCGCAAGCCUGAUGGAGCAACGCCGCGUGUGUGAUGAAGGCUUUCGGGUCGUAAAGCACUGUUGUAUGGGAAGAAAUGCUAAAAUAGGGAAUGAUUUUAGUUUGACGGUACCAUACCAGAAAGGGACGGCUAAAUACGUGCCAGCAGCCGCGGUAAUACGUAUGUCCCGAGCGUUAUCCGGAUUUAUUGGGCGUAAAGCGAGCGCAGACGGUUGAUUAAGUCUGAUGUGAAAGCCCGGAGCUCAACUCCGGAAUGGCAUUGGAAACUGGUUAACUUGAGUGUUGUAGAGGUAAGUGGAACUCCAUGUGUAGCGGUGGAAUGCGUAGAUAUAUGGAAGAACACCAGUGGCGAAGGCGGCUUACUGGACAACAACUGACGUUGAGGCUCGAAAGUGUGGGUAGCAAACAGGAUUAGAUACCCUGGUAGUCCACACCGUAAACGAUGAAUACUAGGUGUUAGGAGGUUUCCGCCUCUUAGUGCCGAAGCUAACGCAUUAAGUAUUCCGCCUGGGGAGUACGACCGCAAGGUUGAAACUCAAAGGAAUUGACGGGGACCCGCACAAGCGGUGGAGCAUGUGGUUUAAUUCGAAGCAACGCGAAGAACCUUACCAGGUCUUGACAUCCUUUGAAGCUUUUAGAGAUAGAAGUGUUCUCUUCGGAGACAAAGUGACAGGUGGUGCAUGGUCGUCGUCAGCUCGUGUCGUGAGAUGUUGGGUUAAGUCCCGCAACGAGCGCAACCCUUAUUGUUAGUUGCCAGCAUUCAGUUGGGCACUCUAGCGAGACUGCCGGUGACAAACCGGAGGAAGGCGGGGACGACGUCAGAUCAUCAUGCCCCUUAUGACCUGGGCUACACACGUGCUACAAUGGCGUAUACAACGAGUUGCCAACCUGCGAAGGUGAGCUAAUCUCUUAAAGUACGUCUCAGUUCGGACUGCAGUCUGCAACUCGACUGCACGAAGUCGGAAUCGCUAGUAAUCGCGGAUCAGCACGCCGCGGUGAAUACGUUCCCGGGUCUUGUACACACCGCCCGUCACACCAUGGGAGUUUGUAAUGCCCAAAGCCGGUGGCCUAA
RNAcentral lists this ribosomal RNA (1388 nucleotides) under Leuconostoc citreum. RNAcentral describes it as "bacterial SSU rRNA". It matches the Rfam family "Bacterial small subunit ribosomal RNA", at positions 64 to 1438 of the family's 1533-position model. Lineage: Bacteria; Bacillati; Bacillota; Bacilli; Lactobacillales; Lactobacillaceae. The record is from RNAcentral.